GACCCUUAACCAACUGAGCCAUCAAGGCACCCCUAAAAAGGUUUGCGGUAGACAAGUGUCCAAUAUUGGAUGAGUCACAUGCUGUAUCCUGUGAAAGUCUUGUCUUAUGGAUGCCAGAAGCUACUGCAGGUUCAGAAUGGGCACGUGCGGCUGACAGCGCUGCGCCUCAUCCCAGACGUGCUGGACACUCAUCUCAGGAAGGCUCCAGACCCCAUGUGUACAAACAGAGGAAAGGUUUUAGUUGAGAAGCUACGAGGGACCAUGAAUGAGAUGCUACCUGAACAGCAGUAGCAGCAACAGCAAAGACUUGUAUUUCGUGGAGAAGUCAGACACUUCUAGAAGAGCUGCGGGGAACAAAGACCAUGCAGGGAAAACAAGUCCUAAACUUAGAAAGUUCUUUUGUGAAGGGAGAAGACAUGGGCGGAAGGCAGAGGCACUGCACUGUCAGCUGAGCAACUGCUUUUUGUAAAUCACUCUCUUCUGGAGCUCUGCAUUUUUUUUAAAUGUAGAUAAGCAGCCUAGCAUCCAAAGCAAACUCAGCUUAAGCUGAGAAUCCAAACAAACCAUAAAGAUGCUGGUACCUCAGUUCAAAUCCAAGUGAAAGCAAAGAACAAAAGGAAGCAAUGUUGCUUGUGAGAACAUGUUGAUUUCAAACUAGCUUUUUUUUUUCUAUUUCUUUUUUUAAGAUUUUAUUUAUUUAUUCACGAGACAGACACACACAUACACACACACACACACACACAGAGAGAGAGAGAGAGAGGCCGAGACAUAGGCAG
Canis lupus familiaris (dog) is the source of this 776-nucleotide long non-coding RNA. RefSeq lists it as uncharacterized. The record is from RefSeq and is a predicted model, not a curated record. The transcript is spliced from 3 exons. Lineage: Eukaryota; Metazoa; Chordata; Mammalia; Carnivora; Canidae.